GAUGAACGCUGGCGGCGUGCUUAACACAUGCAAGUCGAACGGGCUCUUCGGAGCUAGUGGCGGACGGGUGAGUAACGCGUGAGAAUCUGCCUACAGGACGGGGACAACAGUUGGAAACGACUGCUAAUACCCGAUGUGCCGAGAGGUGAAACAUUUAUGGCCUGUAGAUGAGCUCGCGUCUGAUUAGCUAGUUGGUGGGGUAAGGGCCUACCAAGGCGACGAUCAGUAGCUGGUCUGAGAGGAUGAUCAGCCACACUGGGACUGAGACACGGCCCAGACUCCUACGGGAGGCAGCAGUGGGGAAUUUUCCGCAAUGGGCGCAAGCCUGACGGAGCAACGCCGCGUGGGGGAGGAAGGUUUUUGGACUGUAAACCCCUUUUCUCAGGGAAGAAGAAAGUGACGGUACCUGAGGAAUAAGCCUCGGCUAAUUCCGUGCCAGCAGCCGCGGUAAUACGGGAGAGGCAAGCGUUAUCCGGAAUUAUUGGGCGUAAAGCGUCCGCAGGCGGUUAAUCAAGUCUGUUGUCAAAGCGUGGGGCUCAACCUCAUACAGGCAAUGGAAACUGAUUGACUAGAGUAUGGUAGGGGUAGCGGGAAUUCCAGGUGUAGCGGUGAAAUGCGUAGAUAUCUGGAAGAACACCAGCGGCGAAAGCGCGCUACUGGGCCAUAACUGACGCUCAUGGACGAAAGCUAGGGAGCGAAAGGGAUUAGAUACCCCUGUAGUCCUAGCCGUAAACGAUGAACACUAGGUGUUGCGUGAAUCGACCCGCGCAGUGCCGUAGCCAACGCGUUAAGUGUUCCGCCUGGGGAGUACGCACGCAAGUGUGAAACUCAAAGGAAUUGACGGGGGCCCGCACAAGCGGUGGAGUAUGUGGUUUAAUUCGAUGCAACGCGAAGAACCUUACCAGGGUUUGACAUCCCCCGAAUCUCUUGGAAACGAGAGAGUGCCUUCGGGAGCGGGGAGACAGGUGGUGCAUGGCUGUCGUCAGCUCGUGUCGUGAGAUGUUGGGUUAAGUCCCGCAACGAGCGCAACCCACGUUUUUAGUUGCCAUCAUUCAGUUGGGCACUCUAGAGAAACUGCCGGUGACAAACCGGAGGAAGGUGUGGACGACGUCAAGUCAUCAUGCCCCUUACAUCCUGGGCUACACACGUACUACAAUGCUCCGGACAGCGAGACGCGAAGCCGCGAGGUGAAGCAAAUCUCCCAAACCGGGGCUCAGUUCAGAUUGCAGGCUGCAACUCGCCUGCAUGAAGGCGGAAUCGCUAGUAAUCGCAGGUCAGCAUACUGCGGUGAAUACGUUCCCGGGCCUUGUACACACCGCCCGUCACACCAUGGAAGUUGGCCAUGCCCGAAGUCGUUACCCUAACCGUUCGCGGAGGGGGGCGCCGAAGGUAGGGCUGAUGACUGGGGUG
RNAcentral lists this ribosomal RNA (1410 nucleotides) under Synechococcus elongatus PCC 7943. Its description in RNAcentral is "bacterial SSU rRNA". It matches the Rfam family "Bacterial small subunit ribosomal RNA". The record is from RNAcentral. Lineage: Bacteria; Bacillati; Cyanobacteriota; Cyanophyceae; Synechococcales; Synechococcaceae.